RNAcentral lists this ribosomal RNA (348 nucleotides) under uncultured bacterium. RNAcentral's name for it is "bacterial SSU rRNA". It matches the Rfam family "Bacterial small subunit ribosomal RNA", at positions 460 to 793 of the family's 1533-position model. The record is from RNAcentral.
CGGCAUCAUUUGACGUUAGCAACAGAAGAAGCACCGGCUAACUCCGUGCCAGCAGCCGCGGUAAUACGGGAGGGUGCGAGCGUUAAUCGGAAUUACGUGGGACGUAAAGCGCAUGCAGGUGGUUUAGUUAAGUCAGAUGUAGAAACGGCCCGGGGCUACCAACCUACCGGAAACUGCUAUUUAGAAACGUGGCAGACUAGAGUACUGUAGAGGGGGUAGAAUUUCAGGUGUAGCGGUGAAAUGCGUAGAGAUCUGAAGGAAUACCGGUGGCGAAGGCGGCCCCCUGGACAGAUACUGACACUCAGAUGCGAAAGCGUGGGGAGCAAACAGGAUUAGAUACCCUGGUAG